This 505-nucleotide ribosomal RNA is filed under the name uncultured bacterium. RNAcentral's name for it is "partial 16S ribosomal RNA". It matches the Rfam family "Bacterial small subunit ribosomal RNA", at positions 28 to 507 of the family's 1533-position model. The record is from RNAcentral.
GACGAACGCUGGCGGCGUGCCUAAUACAUGCAAGUAGAACGCACAGUUUAUACCGUAGCUUGCUACACCAUAGACUGUGAGUUGCGAACGGGUGAGUAACGCGUAGGUAACCUGCCUGGUAGCGGGGGAUAACUAUUGGAAACGAUAGCUAAUACCGCAUAAUAUUGAUUAUUGCAUGAUAAUUGAUUGAAAGAUGCUAUUGCAUCACUACCAGAUGGACCUGCGUUGUAUUAGCUAGUAGGUGAGGUAACGGCUCACCUAGGCGACGAUACAUAGCCGACCGGAGAGGGUGAUCGGCCACACUGGGACGGAGACACGGCCCAGACUCCUACGGGAGGCAGCAGUAGUGAAUCUUCGGCAAGGGACGAAAGUCUGACCGAGCAACGCCGCGUGAGUGAAGAAGGUUUUCGGAUCGUAAAGCUCUGUUGUAAGAGAAGAACGGGUGUGAGAGUGGAAAGUUCACACUGUGACGGUAUCUGACCAGAAAGGGACGGCUAACUACGUG